ACCAGAGCCCAGGCGGGCUCCUGUUCUCUCACUUGGCUGGCCUCGUCCCACAGUCCUGCUGGAGAGAGACUGGGGGUCACAGAAUGGUGCAGCUUCCCGUUCUGUGUGGCUGGCUGCUUGUGGCUGCUGCGGAUUCAGGUCAGACGGCAAGCUCAGGAGGGGAGAGGGGCCCAGUCGCGGGGUACCAUGGGCAGUGGCUCCCUAACCCCUGCCCUGCCACAGCCACCCCAGGCAUUACCCCUCACCCUGCCUUCUGCUCUCAGCAGUCUCCUGUCAGCAUCAGUCUCGGGUCUCCCUCUGGAGGACUUAACUCACUUAUUUCUCCCGAGGAUGUCCACUCCAUCGACCUUCGACUGGCCCUGCUGUGUAUUUCAGAUGCCGCUGCAAGCCUGGUGGAGCAAAGGCCCCGGUGGGUCCUCGUGCCCCGUGGACAGUCCAGGACCCUGCACUGCAUCCUGAGGGAUGCCCAGUACCCCUGGAUGAGCUGGUACCAGCAGGAUCUCCAGGGGCAGCUACAGAGUCUGGCCUCUCUGCGUAGUCCUGGGGAUGAGGAGGCCGUAUCCCGUCCUGGAGCAGAUUACCUGGCUACACGGGUCAGUGACAUGGAGCUGACGCUGCGUGUGGCCAACGUGACCCAGGGCAGAACUCUCUUCUGCACCUGCAGCAAAGACACAACGAGAAAGCUUCCUUGAGUAUCUGAGUAAAAACCACAUACAUAGACGCCAAGCCCUCCUCCUCGGCUUGCAGGCCUCCUAAGCCUACUUCUUCUCCACGUAGUCUGCCUUCCGGCCUCCUAACCACAAGAGAUGACUUCUCCCUUUACCGUUCGUGAAACAUUCUCUGCCCGAAUAGCAUAGCACUUUGACUCCAGUUCUGGGGGACUUGAGUACGGAUCUUGGCACUGUCACCUGCGAGCUUUGGGUAAGUCUCUCUUCUGCCCUGAUCUAGUUCUGUGUCUAUAAAAUGCAGAAAGCACCUCCAUCCAGCUCAGUGGGCUGGACAAUACAACAGGGGAAGUCUUUAGAAUAAUGCAGUGGGAUAGGACAAAUGAUCAACUGGCCCGGUGUUGCCCUCCGUGGGAUGCAUCUCUAAGAUGCAUGUUGUACACUGAGGCCAGUACCAGUCCUCAGAGAAGGAUUGUGGAAAUGCUGGGAGGUCAGAAAAGGGGAGGGCUGGAUCUCUCAACACUGCACUCACAGCCCUGGAAUUCACAGCCAUCUUCCCUGUGAGACCCCAUUCUCACUACUUACCCCACUUCAACUUCUUGCACCUCCGUCUCGAGCUCAUCUUUUAAAGCGAAAAACUCAGGAAGGACCACAGAGUGCUUUCCCCACACUGAGCUGGAAAGCUGUGAGUCAGAACUGAGUCUGUGCAUGGAAUGAGGCCACCCACAGACAGGGGCAGACCUAGGAGACUCCGCCCCCAGGGCAAAUUGGU
Molecule: non-coding RNA, 1437 nt
Organism: Oryctolagus cuniculus (rabbit)
Lineage: Eukaryota; Metazoa; Chordata; Mammalia; Lagomorpha; Leporidae
Source: RefSeq, a predicted model, not a curated record